Molecule: unclassified non-coding RNA, 345 nt
Filed under: soil metagenome
Description: partial contains 5.8S ribosomal RNA, internal transcribed spacer 2, and large subunit ribosomal RNA
Rfam family: 5.8S ribosomal RNA (bases 1-120)
Source: RNAcentral
GAUGAAGAACGUAGCGAAAUGCGAUACGUAAUGUGAAUUGCAGAAUUCAGUGAAUCAUCGAGUCUUUGAACGCACAAUGCGCCCCCUGGUAUUCCGGGGGGCAUGCCUGUCCGAGCGUCAUUGCUGCCCUCAAGCACGGCUUGUGUGUUGGGCCUCCGUCCUCCUCCCGGGGGACGGGCCCGAAAGGCAGCGGCGGCACCGCGUCCGGUCCUCGAGCGUAUGGGGCUUCGUCACCCGCUCUUGUAGGCCCGGCCGGCGCUUGCCGACACAUCAAUCUUUUUUCCAGGUUGACCUCGGAUCAGGUAGGGAUACCCGCUGAACUUAAGCAUAUCAAUAAGCGGAGGA